GACGAACGCUGGCGGCGUGCCUAAUACAUGCAAGUUGAGCGCUGAAGGUUGGUACUUGUACCGACUGGAUGAGCAGCGAACGGGUGAGUAACGCGUGGGGAAUCUGCCUUUGAGCAGGGGACAACAUUUGGAAACGAAUGCUAAUACCGCAUAAAAACUUUAAACACAAGUUUUAAGUUUGAAAGAUGCAAUUGCAUCACUCAAAGAUGAUCCCGCGUUGUAUUAGCUAGUUGGUGAGGUAAAGGCUCACCAAGGCGAUGAUACAUAGCCGACCUGAGAGGGUGAUCGGCCACAUUGGGACUGAGACACGGCCCAAACUCCUACGGGAGGCAGCAGUAGGGAAUCUUCGGCAAUGGAGGAAAGUCUGACCGAGCAACGCCGCGUGAGUGAAGAAGGUUUUCGGAUCGUAAAACUCUGUUGGUAGAGAAGAACGUUGGUGAGAGUGGAAAGCUCAUCAAGUGACGGUAACUACCCAGAAAGGGACGGCUAACUACGUG
This 497-nucleotide ribosomal RNA is filed under the name uncultured bacterium. Its description in RNAcentral is "partial 16S ribosomal RNA". It matches the Rfam family "Bacterial small subunit ribosomal RNA", at positions 28 to 507 of the family's 1533-position model. The record is from RNAcentral.